UACGAAGGGGGCUAGCGUUGCUCGGAAUCACUGGGCGUAAAGCGCACGUAGGCGGCUUACUAAGUCAGGGGUGAAAUCCUGGAGCUCAACUCCAGAACUGCCUUUGAUACUGGUGAGCUUGAGUCCGGAAGAGGUGAGUGGAACUGCGAGUGUAGAGGUGAAAUUCGUAGAUAUUCGCAAGAACACCAGUGGCGAAGGCGGCUCACUGGUCCGGGACUGACGCUGAGGUGCGAAAGCGUGGGGAGCAAACAGG
RNAcentral lists this ribosomal RNA (253 nucleotides) under uncultured bacterium. Its description in RNAcentral is "partial 16S ribosomal RNA". It matches the Rfam family "Bacterial small subunit ribosomal RNA", at positions 524 to 776 of the family's 1533-position model. The record is from RNAcentral.